This 432-nucleotide ribosomal RNA is filed under the name uncultured bacterium. Its description in RNAcentral is "partial 16S ribosomal RNA". It matches the Rfam family "Bacterial small subunit ribosomal RNA", at positions 29 to 506 of the family's 1533-position model. The record is from RNAcentral.
AGCGAACGCUGGCGGCAGGCUUAACACAUGCAAGUCAAGCGGGCACUUCGGUGUCAGCGGCAGACGGGUGAGUAACACGUGGGAACGUACCCUUUGGUUCGGAAUAACGCUGGGAAACUAGCGCUAAUACCGGAUACGCCCUUUUGGGGAAAGGCUUGCUGCCGAAGGAUCGGCCCGCGUCUGAUUAGCUAGUUGGUGGGGUAAUGGCCUACCAAGGCGACGAUCAGUAGCUGGUCUGAGAGGAUGAUCAGCCACACUGGGACUGAGACACGGCCCAGACUCCUACGGGAGGCAGCAGUGGGGAAUAUUGGACAAUGGGCGCAAGCCUGAUCCAGCCAUGCCGCGUGAGUGAUGAAGGCCUUAGGGUUGUAAAGCUCUUUUGUCCGGGACGAUAAUGACGGUACCGGAAGAAUAAGCCCCGGCUAACUUCGU